UACGAAGGGUGCAACCGUUGCUCGGAAUUAUUGGGCGUAAAGCGCACGUAGGCGGCUUAGCAAGUCGGAUGUGAAAUCCCUCGGCUCAACCAAGGAAGUGCAUCCGAAACUGCUGAGCUUGAGUACGAAAGAGGAUCGCGGAAUUCCCAGUGUAGAGGUGAAAUUCGUAGAUAUUGGGAAGAACACCAGUGGCGAAGGCGGCUAACUGGUCCAGAUCUGACGCUGAGGUGCGAAAGCGUGGGGAGCAAACAGG
RNAcentral lists this ribosomal RNA (253 nucleotides) under uncultured bacterium. Its description in RNAcentral is "partial 16S ribosomal RNA". It matches the Rfam family "Bacterial small subunit ribosomal RNA", at positions 524 to 776 of the family's 1533-position model. The record is from RNAcentral.